UACGUAGGGGGCAAGCGUUGUCCGGAUUUAUUGGGCGUAAAGAGCGUGUAGGCGGUUUGGUAGGUCCGCUGUGAAAACUCGAGGCUCAACCUCGAGACGCCGGUGGAAACCAUCAGACUAGAGUCCGGAAGAGGAGAGUGGAAUUCCUGGUGUAGCGGUGAAAUGCGCAGAUAUCAGGAGGAACACCAGUGGCGAAGGCGGCACUCUGGGCCGGUACUGACGCUGAGGCGCGAAAGCGUGGGGAGCAAACAGG
RNAcentral lists this ribosomal RNA (253 nucleotides) under uncultured bacterium. RNAcentral describes it as "partial 16S ribosomal RNA". It matches the Rfam family "Bacterial small subunit ribosomal RNA", at positions 524 to 776 of the family's 1533-position model. The record is from RNAcentral.